UACGGGGGGGGCAAGCGUUGUUCGGAAUUACUGGGCGUAAAGGGCUCGUAGGUGGCCAACUAAGUCAGACGUGAAAUCCCUCGGCUUAACCGGGGAACUGCGUCUGAUACUGGAUGGCUUGAGUGUGGGAGAGGGAUGCGGAAUUCCAGGUGUAGCGGUGAAAUGCGUAGAUAUCUGGAGGAACACCGGCGGCGAAGGCGGCAUCCUGGACCACGACUGACGCUGAGUGAGCGAAAGCCAGGGGAGCAAACGGG
Molecule: ribosomal RNA, 254 nt
Filed under: uncultured bacterium
Lineage: Bacteria
Description: partial 16S ribosomal RNA
Rfam family: Bacterial small subunit ribosomal RNA
Source: RNAcentral